ACAGCGGGACGCUAUGGCCGACACGGCUCGGGGACCGGAGUCCGAUUCCUUGGCUUGAGGAAUUGUAUAUGUGUGGCCUGUAUCAUUUCCAGUUAAAAGACAGACAGUCUGUCUGUCCAAUCAGAAGGGUCCUUCCUCUGCUUCCUGCUAUAAGGCCCUACCCUUUCCGGAAGAAGUUAAUGUCGUUGUGUUUUCCUAUUUGUCGUUGUGUUUUGCACUUCAGGGCCACCGUAGUUCUGUGAGAGAAGUUGUAAGGUCAAGAACUGACAAACAAUUUGUUUUUGUGCCGGAUGGAGCGAGAUCACCCCACAACUAUCUGAUAAAGCCAAAGCCUGGCCAGUUUAUUUUCUGAGAACGUUGAGUCAAUUUUGUCUAUAGUCGAAUACCAUAAAUUUAGCCUGAAAAGGAUUUGUGAUCAGUUCCAAGGCCCUCCGUUUGGAUAAAGAAACUCUCUUAAAAGGUCUUUAUGAUUUGAGUCUUUAUUAAGGAUUCAACAAUUGUUCAUCUUCCCACUUGAUUUUGAACUCUGUUUAAUGUGAAACUGCAAAAACAAUAUUUUUUACUGAAAUCAGUCAAUAAUUGUUAUAAAUGAUCACGGUCUGAAUCCUGUUCAGUUUUGACCAAAACCAGUCAGCUCUAAAUCAAACAGAGAAAUAUUAACGACAAAACUCAAACAAUAGGCUAAAUGAAGCUAAGGAGCAAAGCAAAAAGUGGAGUUGAAUAACAAACGUCUCUUUUGCAAUCGUUAAACUGACUGCUUCUAAAUAUGUUGUAACAUUUAGCUAGAGGAUGUGAUGCCAGACACAGCUUAUUCCAAAGUAUUAUGUAUGGAGAAUCCUUACUCAUCCUCUCAUAACUCGGAUAAAACCACCCGAGCUGCCACGUCCAACCUGAAAAGCUCUUUGAUUAAUCAGCGCCUUUAGCCCCUCUCUGAACCGAGCGCUUACGGGCUCUACGCGGCUAUAACCGUUGAUUGAAUUUUAAAAAUAAAAACGUGCCUCAUUUCAGAAUGUUCCUCUUUGUAUGGUUCACUCUCGCUUUUUAGGAUAUGGCCGAUUCCAAUGAUGCAGUCCCACUAGGUUUUAAAUGGCAAUGUAUUCAGGAGACAUAACCAGGGGAUUAUGAUGAUGAAUAAAGAUGGCUGCGCCUGUCUUAGGGUAUUUGUGAGGAGUGGAGGGAGAGGAGGCCUGUUCAGGAGAGACCGGGGGGAGGGAGAAGGAGGAGGAGGAGGAGGAGGAGGAGGAAGGAGGAGGAGGAGGAGGAUGAUCUGGGGUAAUAUUACAGACAAUACAGGCAAAGCAAAGGCGCUGCGACAAUGAAUAGUGGUUGGAUCGGCUCAAUACUUGAUCAAAUUUCGCCCUUAAUGAAAAGGGGAGUCUAGUCAUGAUUGUCUCUAAGAAGAUGGAUAUGAUGCAAUUAGUUUAAUUGUACGUCAAUAGUGAUUAAUACGUGGUGGCAAGCUGCUUGUCGUAAGGUAAGAAUUUAUUCUUAAUUGAGCUUGCGUCUCCGUCGGUGAUGUUUGCGCAUGCUUUGACUUUUACAUUCAAUUUGAAAUAAUCCCUUUUUUGAAUGGUCUUGUACUUGUACAGGGCGCAGUGGACUGCGCUCAUUUGGUCAUUCUCAUUGACCUAAAAGUAUCAACAUAUUACAGUGACAAAGCAGACAUGUUGAGUUAUGGUUCAGCCUCCCUGGAGGUUUUGUAGCGCAGUAUAACAGGCCCGUCUGCCCAAAAGCAGUUUGUUUUAAUACUUCAAUGUGAGUGUAUUCAUAACAGACUGGUGACAGUCAGCUGGUGUUGUACCCUGCAUUAUUGGAUGGAGAUGUAUACCAUAGGGAAUUCAUCGCUGGUCACAAGAAACCCACAAUGCAGUCAUGGAAGCGUAACGCUCGCCCUCCUGUUCCUCAGCAGGUAAACAAAAUUUGCUCCGUCAGCACUGAUGCUUUUGUUUGCUUGGUGCUUGCUGUUGGCAUCAUCAGCUGUCAGCCGUCACCAUGUGGAACUAAGCCCCUUUUUUGUAAUCAGAAACGGCAUGCGACGUUUGUGCUGAUAUCAGAGAUAAUUACCAAAACGUCAUCAAUCCGUCACCCAUUUUUUCGGCAAACCAGUCUUUACCUUUCUGAGAUGAGUUUUAGUAAAUACCACCACAAUUAUGUUUUCAAAGGAGCCAUUGCAGGGACUAUUAAACUCCACGCACGUCUGGAACUGAAUAGCUCCAGCUGCACUUGAGUUCAGAAGUGCACAUACGUGUCUUUUGCUACACAAAUUAGAUUUGCAUAGGUGUGUUAUACAUCUGCUCAUUUUGUAAUGUUUGCACUCACUCCGACAUUCCCCUUGAUGGAGUGUACGCGCACUCUCUUUACCUAUAUUUGUUCGCCUCGUCGCUUUCAAUAAUUCAUUAGGUGUAGGCAUCGCUUCCCGCUUUGAAGAAACCUCGUCUCUACUUCUGCAAUGUGACAGUAUUUACAUUUACAACACAUCAGCAGCAAUCACCUCGCUUUGGUUUGCAUAACAGCAUGCCACACCAGAAGUAGACAAAAUCUGUGCGUCUUAAUGGCAAAUAACCACCUUAUUUAUUUUUCAUAGGAAAGCUCAAGUAAAAAUCUAAUUUCUGCAGUAUCCCAUCUGGGAGGAUGCAAGCUCAGGAAGCCCCUUCACUGGUUUACUUUGAAGCCGGCAUGAUGAAGAAGGCGUUUGAGACUUUUUAGAUGGCGGGUGGAAGAGCAAACUGUCUGUCAGACUUUAGUGUUUUUAUUUAUUUAUCAAAAACCAGGCACUGAGAGAAACACAGGCUGAGGUCACGAUAAUUUAAAGGGGAUAAUAUGCUCUCUAACCACAAGUUGAUGUGGUUCUUUCUGAUCUGAAUGAAAUGUCAUCAUGAAAACAUCAUUUGGUUAAAAUACCACAAGGAUCAUUAUAAACGGCAACCUUUUCAGCCUGCCUAAAACAGCUGUGCUGACCCCUUUGAGGUAUUUAUGCUAAUGAGCAGGCUAACCACCUCCACCCACCUGUCCAUCCACCAUCCCCACUCCUCUGUGGUUUGAGCCUUGCAUGGCAUGCCUCCCCUGAGGCAUCAUGAAAUGUAAAAGAUAAAUGAUUAAAAAUAAAUAUUUGUCCAAUCUGUGAGAGAAAUUGUAUUUUCCUGUUCAGACAAAGAUCUGAACUAAAGCUGUAAAACUACGGGAAAACACUGUAAUCCAUUUUUUGUUUGUUUUUAGGGUGCCUUCUAAGUCUGGGAUGUGAUGUAGAGAAUUGUGCGGAACUGCAGGUCGAUGACGUCGAUGACUUCCACUUGGUCUGAUGACGUCGGCAAGCCCCGGUACUGCCAAAAGAGUUGUUUUAUUUAACACUAAUUCACUACAGUGAUUAAAAACAAAAAAUUAUUAAAAGUGUUUGUUUUUUUCCAGCGACUAUUGAUGUCCCCCAAUCUCAUUAUCGAAACAGCGGCCUGUGUCAUUUUUCACAUGCUUAUAGGCAUUAGCCGCCUGAAUUAGAAACAUCUGGCGCUGUGCUGUUGUGAAUGGAAGUUUAAGGUGAUGCAACCAAACCCAAACAGAAGUGUCUUAUGUAGAGUGAUGGCUUCUUCUAUCAUGGAUGGAGGAGAAUGGGAUGCUGGACAAGAACCACAAGGGGCAGACAUGUGAGCUCUCGGUGAAGAUUUUUGUAUUAAUACAAUUUACUGCCGAAUUUCAUAAAAAAAUGUUGAAUUACCGAAAAUAGUUCAUCAACAGGAACACUUGAAGACGAACCAGAAUGUAGUAUUAGUAAUUUAUCCAUCUCUUUAACUUUAUCUGUCAUCAAAUAAUUGUUUGAGCCAAUAAUCUUUCAUAUUUUCCACAUCAUUGUAAGAAUGCUAAACGACUUUCUUGAAGUGUGGGAAAUAAUGAAUAGUGUGAUGAAUGGAAAAGAAAAGUGUUGGCUUGAGGAAGUGUAAUUUCGCUUUCGUUGCACAUUCUCUGAAUAGCAUCACUAUUUUUAAUUUUCGUCUUUACUGGAGAUGUUGACAAUACGUACACUUCAGCACUAUUCCCCCUCACCCUCCCUCCACCCUCUUUCUUAUUCGAGAUCCAGCCUGGGCACUCAGACAGCUUCUUAUUUUGGCUCGUGUGACCACUGGGAGCUUGAGAGCGAGGGAGAAUCACCUUUUUAUCAACUGUCCCUCUCCAACACCUUUUCACGUUCUAUUCACUUUCUAUUUUCUGGAUGACCAGCCUGCACUGUUUUCCCUCCCAGGACGUUCCUGCUCCUACACGCUCCUCUCUCUACCUCCUAUAUUUUUGUACAUACAAGUAAAUCAUACAUUUAGCAUUUUCUGUUGAAAUGUUGGAUGCAUGCUCUGUAUAAAAAUAGAGGGCAUAUCCGUGUCAGCGUGUCAGUCUCUCACCCGCUCUUCUGGUUCAGUUUGUUUUGUUACGGCACACAAAUCUCAGCUUUUUAUGACCGAGCACAAAUCUACUCCUGCUAAUAAACUUUUACACAGUGGGUAAACACACAAUUUCCAAUGCUCUUUGGGUGUCCUAACAAGUCAGAUUUUCCUAAUUAAAUUUCCAUUCCAGGAUUUCACACUUUUCUGCGUUUGGCUUUCCCUGCUGAAAAGAAAAGCAUUUUAUCCAGAUAUUCAUUUUUCAGUUGAAUAACAAUGUCAGUUUGCGUGUCUGGACUGCGCUAACGAAAUAGCAGUUGCAAUAAUACACACAAUAUCUCCUGCUAACACACAUGGGGCAUAAAUACACAGAUGUUUGCUUGCAAUCAUUCACACAGGGGAAAACUAAUUCUACUCCGAGGCCUGUCUCUAAAAUGCGUUACCAUCUGCACAGCUGCUGGUCUCACAUUAUACAGCGUGUUUCCUGUAAAGUAAAAGCUUUCAAUGUUGAAGAAUAGCUGGAUGACACUGCGAGCAGUACAAACAAUCAGCUUGUGUCACUGUCUGGGAAUGUAACCUGCCUUCUGUUGUCUGGAUACAGUGCUGGUGCAUUCUCACAAACAUGGGUGCUAUGAUUGGAAAGUCAUGUGACACAUUCUGAAUUAAAUAAGCAAGGCUACAACGGGCAGUUUCACACACUGAAGAUCAUUAGGAAGGGCUGUCCUGCUUCCUGAUGAGGGAUUCAGUGUUUUGUGUAACCAUCCGUUCCCAGGGACAGACUGUGCCCCCUGUGGCGACACUCUCCAUCAGUCCAAUGUUUCUAUGACUCAAAGUAAAGAUGGCGUGUUUGUCACUGGAAACGUGCACGUCAAUUUGGUGCAAACUUCCAUUUUUGUCCAAGAAAUACUGUUAAUAGUUAAUUUGGUUCUGUGGUAGUCGUUGCUACUUAUAUUAUGGGCCUAGACAGAAAUGGAAGUAAACUGCGACUUGAAAGGUUGGUGGAAGAAUAUAACCAGGAGGUGAUAUUUGUAGAGGUUUAAAAAUGACCUGAUCGGUCAAAAAUAGCUAUUGUAUAAUAUUAACCAACUGAAGCGUACUUUCUGCAUUAUUUUUCAUUUAUCAUUAAAUAUGAAGCGGCUGUUGAUGAGACUGCUUCAUACUGUACGUGAGACUGAAUUUUUUUAAUCACCCCUUCAGGGUCUGAAUUUUUUGCGGGAUGCGGUUCUCCGUUGCCAUGGAAUUUGACAUAAUAAUUUAAUAAAUAAUAUGAAAUACUCCCAGCACAACAGUUGUCUCUCUCCUCCCCCCAGCCUGUCCCUUUUCUCUUCCUUCGGUUACACCACCUGUUUCCCAUCAUCCUGCCCCAUUUUUUCCAUCCAGCUGCACACCUGGGACCCACGCUGGCACCCGCCAUUCAUCAUCCUCUCACCUUACUUCCUCGCUGUCGCACAUUGGUCUGAUUCAGUAUGUUUGCGCUAUAGAAAGGUCUUCUCCAGUUCUCAACUGGAUUUUAAUAUUUCUCCAAAAACUACACUGGUUGUCUGAAGCCUGCUAAUGCAUUCGUUUGGAUUGUUUCACAUCGGUUGUUAAGUUUUGAAAUUCAAUAUCCACGAGUCAUACAUCCAAACAGAAAGUUGUGUCAGAGUCUAUUGGCUUAACAGCCCAAAGUUUGUAGGUUUGAUAGUUUGUGAGAGUUGACAUUCCCCUCUGUGCUCUCCUGGUUUCCACUUGCUGUCAGAUCGGAUCGGACUUAUCAGAGAGAGAGCGAGGGAUUCAUGGCGUUCGGCAUUCGUAAGCUGUUGCUACUGGGCUCUAGGGAAGAAGACGCAGUCUUUAAACCGAAGACAGAAAAUAUACCUGCAGUACCUGACAUCAUUCAGACAUAUUGGCUCCUGUAGAUGAAUUGUUAGAUGUGAGCUUAUGCAAAUUUUCAUUUGGUGAUUGUGAAAGUUCAAGAUUUAUAAAUUGUAGUAUUCUGCCAAUCAUACUCGUACAAAAGAUUAAAUGUUUCAUCUACACAUUUUCAGAAUAAUCGUUUUGUCUGACCAAUUCUAACAUAUUAAUUAAGAGAAAUGGAAAAUAAUGUGACUGAACUAACGAUUUCAUUCAACGAUUCUUAUCAACGGUCUACCAAAAUGUAAAGCAAUGAACUUGAUUCAUUGAUCAUUUACCAUUUUGCGUGUGCACAUACUCACACUAAAUUGUGACCCGCUGUGCCGGCUGAAGAAACCCAGCAAACUGAUGACAUUGUGGAGUGCGGCAAAGACAGGAGGGACCGACUGCACGCUGGAAGGAGCAGGUGUGACUGAAAGCUUGAACCAAAAUUUGCAUGCACCAACACAACUUGGUGGUGUGGCGUGUAUUUGCAUUUCGUAUUCAAAUAUGUACACACUGUUGUGCAUGUGAUCUCCUUAAUGAGUGCAGACGGAGUGUUAUCCAUGGCCUGACGGCGUCUUAUAGGACCUCAAUGUGGUCUCUGUCUCAAACACAUUGUGCAUUAUGUGCAUAAAUUAUUUUAUAACACUUCUCAUUGUAUUGAUGGGGUGUUUUUGAGUUAGACAUCCUAGAUUAAUUUUAGUUAAAUUAAAACAGUUGAAUCCUGAGAGAAUAUUUUUUAAAUUUUCUGUCAGGGUUGGAAGGCAGGACUCAAAUGCAGACUUCUCCAAACAAAACACUUUAAUAGUCAAAAGGUCAAAAACACAGGAACCGGGGGCAAAAGCACACAGGCAAGAAACUACGGAGAUCCAAGACGAAAAAAGACAAGAACAAGCGUGGCAAAAGACAAUGACGCGACAACAGACACACAUGGUUUAAAUACACUAGGGAGGUGCAGGUGAUUGGACACAGGUGGAAACUAUUAGACGAUCACAGGGGAUGACAUGACAAGGCAGGAAGUGAAGUUACCCGGGGACACAAGUGGCAGAAUAUUACAAAAUAUAACAGGAAGUGAACCACAUCGUGACAAUUUUCAUUCUCAACUCAAUGGAAAUGCUUCACUUGAAUUUUGUUGGGCAUCAUCAGAAUAUAUAUUUUUUUCUUACACACAUCUGCAUAGAUUUACAUACACAAAAUAAAUGUUGUCUUCUGAUACAAUUUGAUGUUUUGUUCUGAUUAGCUUUGCAUAAUUUAAUAAACUUUUCAGCUAUGAAAUAGUACUCUAUAGCUACUCUAGUUUAGAAAGCUUUGUUUUGUAUGCCCAUAGCGUUUAUUAAAGGUUAUGCAACAACAAUCACAACAGCAAUAACAAUAUUCAUGAUUUCAGCCAUUAAGCAGCUAAAAUAAAUGGAAAUGGUUGGUUAUUUUUUUAACUUAGAGUGCAGAACUUUUUCCUCUGCUGGCAGUGAGGGCAAUUUAAAAUGUCAAUAUCUGUAUUUACACUGGCCGUAUGCCAGCAGGUAAGGUGCCACAUUUCCCACCUGUCCUCUUUUACCGUUGACCGCUUUCUUUUUUGGACUUUAAUCUUGAUUGAAUGCUGAGUUAAAAACAUUUAAAUCAAGAAGAAUUCACUCAUGGCAAUUUACUUGGACGAUGCAGCUUCUGGUAAAGUCCUAGCUUGUUUCCUUGCCUGCUGAGAGAUUUAAACUAUGCACUCGGCAAACAAUCAGCAUUUUUGUUGUGUUCAUUUCAACUCCAAUGUACAUACAGAGCUUCCGCUGGCGCCGGUUGGCUUAAUCAGCGCUGUGUUAUAUGUAAAAGUCCAAGACUCACUGAAGGGGUCUAAGAAGUCCCCGAGGGAAACUGCUUCCACAGCAAGGAACAGGAAACACCACACAUCUGGGCCCUUACUGUUGGUUUUAAAAAAGUUAGUUAUUUUCCAUUUUGGGUUCAUUUUCUUCUGGUUGUUGUAAACUGUCCGCUGUAACUAACUUCCCUCUCUCUGCUUUGCCUAAAUGGAAAGCUAGCGCGGCGCUCUCUGGGCCGCACUCCAUCUGUCGGCCUUCAGAUUAAAGAAAAGAGUCUGGUUAUCCAUAUGUGAUGAAGCCAGGAGGGCUGACGAUGAGUCAGGAGAGGGGUGGGGGGGUCCUGGCAUUCAUCCUGCUGACAUGAACCGUGGUGGGCUGUGACGGGCCUCGGUCUGGUUAUCUGGUCUAGCUGCAUCUGGCGGAUUGCCAUUUGAACAGCGGGGGCGGGGGGUGGAGAAGAGAUUUAAUUUAAUUUAAAACUCCCAUAACAAACCUGAAUGAAAAAAAGCCUCAAAUGAUCAGGUUGAAACUAAUGUAUUUGAUCUAACAUAGGUACAAUCUGUGUAGCUUAAUGCCUGAUUGUAUAUUUCUCUUCACUGUUGUGAAGAAACCUUUUUAAACACAUCAACCUGUCACACUGCCCGGGUACUGCCGUUUGUUUCUGACUCGAUCUCACAUGCUUCGCCCUGCUGCUGGAAAUACUCACCAGAGCACCAAAUAUGUAUUUAUCCACAGUGGAAAAUACCCCCCCAAAAAUGAACCACUUACUCCUGUUUGAGUUGGGAUUGCUAGAAAUGACUCAGUGCUCUGCACGCUGAAACUAAUGCUGGUCAAACGGCUAAACUCAUAUCGUUUAUCUUUUGGUAACACUCUACUCGGGUGAUGUCGAUGGAGUGUCUCCAACAGCAACUAAACUCCAUAAAAACAAUAAAGAUGUGCACUAUGCAUCGGUUGUUGCAAUACGACUGUAUGCACGCCAUCGUCAUCAGUUUAUAGCUUUAUGUUCCUAAAGCUGCUGCAGCCUUCACUAGUAUAGAAGAACAGUCUGCUAAUAAUUGUAUUAAUUGUGCAUGAUUCUUCUUUUCAUCUUUUGCUUUGAUUAUUUUUUAGCUUCUUUCAUGUUAUGUACUUGCGCAUUGCUCUCACUGUUGAUUUUAUCCUUUUUAUAGCAAUAAGAAAGUGGGGACCAUGCAGCUUCACUGAGCCUUUGAGAAGAGUUCUUUUCACCCUCUUUAUUUAUUUACAUUUUGUUGUUUGUGUCUAUUCUAAAGUAUAUGCUGUGAAUUUAAGUGGUUUUCAAGGGGCCGUGUACACCGGAAGGCCACAUUCAAGCCCAUAGGAGAUGCACAAACUCAAACAUGAUUAUAUGGUCAUCAAACCCAUUCACCCUUCAACGCUGUUUCCCGGUAGACACACAGGUCAUCAAUGCAGGAGAGUGUGGGGAAAAAGACCAUGCUUUCCUCAUUGCGACAGAAGGCCGUAUCUACAAGGACCAACACAAUGAUUUUCCAUUAGGAUCAGGAUCAGGAUCAGGUAGCCAGGGAGGAAAGCAUGUAAUAUUCACAAUUGAGUAUAUUGAACUUGAAAAACUGGUGAAUACAGCCAGAGGUGAUGGGCUCCAUCUAGUUAGAUUAGAGGAACCAGACUAAUUCUUAUGAAUUUACAGUGGAUUACAAAUUCCACAAUUAAAUUUCUAUUUUAUGGACUUAUGAAACUUGUAUAACUGAGUUCAGUUGUUGAAGGAUCAAUUAUAUUUUGUUAUACAUAUGUAGAUAAACAUCAGGACUGCAGAGAGCCUUCACAUCUUCCGCCGCAAACUAAAGACACACCUCUUCAGACUCUACCUCGACUAAAGACUAACAAAUUGUAGCACUUAAAUUGUACUUGUAACGUCACUCAUCUAUAGCAAAUUGUAAAUUGGCUUAUUUGAGGAAAUUGCACUUUCUUGUUUCUUGUUCUCCUGAGUUUGUACCCUAUGGUUGAAUGCACUCAUUAUACGUCGCUUUGGAUAAAAGCGUCCGCUAAAUGACAUGUAAUGUAAUGUAAUGUAAUGUAGAUAUAUAUGUCAGUGUAGCAAAAUGUUUUUGAGGAAAGAUUUUUGACCUGGCUCCAAUAAAUGCAGUUUAAUUUCAUAACGUUCCAACCACGUAUGUUAACAAUUUAUCUACUUUUGUAAAUGAUUAUUUUGUUGGGUGAUCACUCCACAAUGAAUUCCCAUUGACCCCCGGAGCACUAGCCCCCCCUUGUACAGUUGUGUAUUACGUAUUUAAUUAUGUCCAUAAUCAGUCGGCUUUGGUAGAAUAAUAUGAAAAGGAGCAAUAACAGAAUGAAAUAGAUUAUGCAAACAAGGGAAGAUGUACUACAACGGAGAAGAAAGGUAGAGCAAAAAGAUAAUACGAGAGAGAUCCUCACAAUCGGAUGGACAUAGAAGACCAAGAGCGAAGAGACAAUGCCAGACAAAAAGAAUAAAAGGCGUAACAGACCCAUGAAAGGAGACCGGCAGCGAGCCAGACGAGACGGGGCGACGCGUGUGAGCAUUGGUCCCGUGGAAAUGUUGCUGUGCUGGAGGCUGAGCCCACGCGCCCAGCAGUGAUGAAUUUGUCCUGUCAGGAUAAGCCAUAUAAACAGACGUAUAGUGUAUGACAACCCUCCUCUCGGCGCUGCACUGAACAAUGACAUUACCCUACUGCUGCGUAACAAUGGCUACAGAGAUCUGGCAGGACACAUAUGAGGAAGGUACACGGCUGUUUGUCUUUUAGUGUGGAUGUUUAUUAUCUGGGCAUAUCUCAGUGAUUUAGUGGAGGAUCUGGGACGAAUGCCACAUACUUCUUUCUGAGGAAAAUAGCAAUGUUUAAUAAAGCUGCAAAUCGCUAGAGGGCAGGAAGAAGACAAUUUAAUAGAAGCAGAUCAAUGAGCAUAUACAAUCAACAUAUCAGGGUUUUACUGCAGCAAAACAGCUCUUGUGUUGCUGGAGGACAUGUCAUUAGUGAGCGGUUGGUGGUUUGAAUACAAAAAUGGCGGGAUUUCAAAGUGGAGGAUUGAUUGAUGUUGUGGUCUGAAAAUCAUCUCAGAAUUCCAAUUGGGUGUCUGGGUUUGGCUAGACGUGUGGACAAAAUAACAGACAAAACCUUUGGCUGCGAGGAUCAAAAAACCUUGACCUAUGUGGCAGAAGCUUCAAAGGCGCUGGCCACAAACCAUGAUUUGGAAAAUAAGUCUGUUCUGGACUGUUUCUGUCUCUUCUCAUAUUUUUGCUAUGUCUCUACGGUUUACUUCCUGAUAAAAGCAUAAUAUGUGGGGUUUGCUGGGAUUUAUACUAGCAAAACCAGGUAUCGGUAAGAAUUCUCAACCCAGUCUCACGGCAAAACGUGUACUAGCUACGUUGUGGACCAACGCGGUAUUGUCACGCUCAGUAUUGUAGUGGUAAAAUUAGAGGUGGGUAAACUCUAAUUUUGUGAUCAUACAGACCUCGACGCGAUGCAACGUGAUGCGAAGCAACGCAACACAAAGCGUACUACUUGUUUCUUCAUCUCCUCCCUCUAUUCCAUCUUUCUCUGUCUCCCCUUUCUCUGUUUCUUCAUUCUAUGUUGGUCUUCUUUAAUUUCCUACCCUUUCCUCUUCUCCACUCUUUGGUUCUCAACUGUCAUGAUUUCGUUCUCUCAUCAGCCCUUCUCCUCUCUCUAUUUGACCUGGUGUUUCUCCUCUCCCUGUGCUUUCUGCAUCAUUGCCUGUCCUAUCACUGCCUGAAAAAAUAUGUGGAAUUUAAGAGUUGUGGGGCUGAGAACACCAGUUAAGCAGCCUGUCAAUUACACUGACAACAUAAGUUAAAGGAAAUGUACUACCUAUCUCAUCAUAAAUAGCCUAUACAGCAUGUUUUUUUUCACAUUGAGAACUGACUUGUUUUCAAAUAAUCUAUAUUUACAGUGUAUUUCGCUUACAGGCUACUCUACACCUUUCAUGACUUCAAAUAAUUGAUUAAUUGCUCCCCGCUCACGUUUUCUAUGCGAGAGCAGGACAUGAUGACAGAGCCUCAUGAAAACAACGUUUAAAAACGUGAGUUGAUCUUCUUCAGUCUUACUUUGUACUUGAGGCCUUUGUACUUGAGGUUUAUGCGCAGAAGUAAAUAUACACUAAUAAAGAAGGACACAUACAGCGCCGAAUAAAAGAAACUCACUGGUACGUGUCGUACUUAGACAAUUAAAUGUCGAAAAAAUGAAUAUUACACAUUCCGAACAGGUAGGCAGGCAGGCUAAACCACAACGUGUAUGUGUUUACACACCUCCUGGAUCCUGAUCGGUGUCGCUGCUGCAGCCACAAGGCACUGAUUGGAUGGUCAAAGACCAUAAUACAGCGCAGAUGAAAAUGAUUCAGACUACGGCGUUUAUAUGUUCAACAAUAGGAAACGUAGUCUUAGCUGUUUUAAAAUUACACCAAGUUUAUUUCGGAUUAUUCCAACGGAAGAAUACAAGGCGCAGGGAACUUUGAGGUGCCUAAACGGCACUUAGAGGUGGGUAAACGCUAUUUAGAGGUGCGUAAACGCUAUUUCCAAAAUUCCAGAGGUGCGUGAACGGCGUUUACGUGCGUUUACCCUCCACUACAGCCCUGGUCACGCUUUCUCCCCCAAAUUGUGACAAUACUACAUUUUAUUUUGGCCUAUUUGUUUACAUUGCCUUGCAACUACGUCACUAGAAACUAAUAAACUGAAGGUUUAAUAGACCGACAGUCCGCCAUUUUCUUUUUUUUUUAGCUGAGGGAAAGUUGUCCACAACGUAGCUAGUACACGUUUUGCUGUGAGACUGGGUUGGAAUUCUCCACAUUUGUAUGGAAUAAAUAGUCAUAUUGCCUUUUCCUAUCGUACAUCUAGACAAUAGUGCUCUAUCCAGGGCCAACACAAGAUGUAGUCCAAUAUGCAUACAGCGUGUAGCAGGAGACAUACGGUUUUCCGACCAAAAUGCAAAUUUUAAAUAGUAGAAAGUCCUCAUUUCUACCGAUGCUUUUAAGUAUAUGGAAAUAGUUCCGAGCCACAUGUCCGUUCGGGCCUUGCAGUUUGUUAGUGCUUCUUUGACUAAUUUAACAGUGGACCUUCAUUACAGAACCAAAUGGGACUCGUAUAUACUGUGAGUUGUGCAGCUUGGAGUGGAUCCAUAUAUUUUACAUGGGAAAUACUUCCCAUCUUCUGCUAACAUGCAUAUAGAUGGGGUGCAUUUAAGGGAGCUAAACACACAUUUUGGCCUGAAGCUUUGCACGACAAGUCAUCGUCUUGCCCGACUCAGCAACUCUAGAGACGGCAGUCUAAAAAAUGACUAUAAAUACAAGUCAUUGGGUAAUAUUAAGCCAGUUUACACUGCUGAUAAUGUUGCUUUAACACCCUGUUGAGUUCCAAUUUUCUGAUGACGCUCCUUUUUAUUGAAUGCACCAGUAUCAUUGCUGGAGGAAACGUCAUAAUGGAAAAUGUGGUUUUGAAAAAUUAAUUGUUGCGAAAAAUAAUGUCAUGUGUUGUCUAGUCCCAUCAACAGUCUAAAACACAACAUUCAAUCUUUAAUUAUAUAAGUAAACCAAUAUCCUCUAUUUGCAAAUUGCAAAUAAGGGAAACUGUUCUUAUUGGUCAAUUGGUCAUUUUUCAAUGUAACAUUGAAGAAAAUUAUCUGUUUUAGCUGUAUCACUAUUUUGUAUAAUGGCAAAAGCUGAUCUGUAGGCCGUUGUUAAGCUUUUGAAUUUUCUGUAUUACCUUGAAAUGUUCCUCUAUGUAGAAUUGCAUGUGACAUAAAAUGUCUGACAGAUUCAUCAGUAUGAGGUUCUUGUAACAAUUUAAAUCUAAUAGAAAUGUCUGCGUCUGAAUCGGUCUUUCUUGCUUUCCUGAGGAAGGAAUCCCUGUGUUGCUUGAAUAGCUCGGAUCAAGUAAUGCAGCAGGCGGCAGCCUCUGAUUGUCACCGCACUGAUUUGUUAUUGAGUAAGGAGGCUUUUCAACACAGCUGUUUGUGGCUCUCUGAAAAUGAAGACUGCGAUAUUGUGUUCCACGGAUUGGGCUUUACUUUCACACAUCAUCCGCCAUCCUUCUUAAAGAGGCUGUCAAAUUGUCCCGGCGCCCUCUCAGUGCACAACUCUGGCGGAAGAAUUUCAAAGGGCACUUCAGCAAAAUCCGACGAUACAGGAGAAAAUGAAAACUCUGGGCUUUUUUGCCUUUAGCACAAUGCACUGAAUCGGUGUUAAAUUCCUCAGGGUUGUCCAAAGGUUUCUACAACAGCUGAACCAGCUGAAAACAUUUAUCAUGGUUGGCACCCAGCAGACCUCGAGCUGAAGCUCACCUCACGUAAAUGUCCUUGACAGUCUUGUGUCACACAAUUCAUCCGACAGCAGGGAAGGAUUACAACCGAACUAUCUCGGCAUCUGUAACAUUUCAUGCUUGUUAGACAUUAACACGAUUCAAGUAGCAUAAACAUCCAUGUGCAAGAAGAACCAACUACAUUUUUGUUUCUCUUCAUAUCAUAAUGGUGUAUCAAUCAUAGUAAUACCAUGGUCUAAAAAUAAAUAAGGACUCAAUUAAACUGUUGUAUUAUUAAGAACUUAAGAUCCUUUGCUUUGAGUAAUAUAGUACAGCAUCAUGUCUAUUUUCUUUUUAGUAAAAACAAUGUAACCUAAAUGGGGUGGAGCAACUACAUUGCAUGUCAUGACGCUUCUAUCCAAAGCGACAACAAGUGAGUCGACCCUAGUAUAAAGUAUAAAGUUACUCAACUGUUGACAUACUUGUCCUCUACUUCAUAACAUCCCUUGAUUUAAAUAUGCUAGUGUUGGCGGGCAUACGGUUUGAGGUGCUGUGGACAUCCACACAGAGGCCAGAAGGCCAGACUGACACCAGCAGAUGAAAACAAACCGUCCCCCCCCCUGUGGUGCCGGGGGGGAGCGGCAGGAAAGGCCUGGCUGGGGAUCCUGGAGAAAUGUCAAGCUAAGCAUACAUCAACGGAGGCAAGGCGGCGCUGUCAGGGAGCAUCAAUGCAACACGCUUGAUGUUUUAGUAAUGAGGACACGCUGUACACAGUGGCAAAGAUGCCGGGACGCAAACAAGUGCCAGUGCGGCAUGGCCGAUCAGCCGGAGACCCCCACUAACGCAGGGAAUUGGAAAAGGAGGCCGAGACAAACAGACGGGAUGACUGGAGGGAAGCAAACAAAACGGAAAAGUCAAACAGUAACCUAGUCAAACCGAGGAGGCCUACCAAGAGUCCCUGCUCAAGAGAAUAUGGGAGAUUCAUUAGAUGCUAAAUAUCACUUGUGUGUCAUUUGACAUUUAGCUUUUUUUCGGAUGGAAGCGUUUUGGCAGAUUCAAAGUCUUAAUUUCUGAAAUCUCCCGAGGCUUCUUUUCGGUAGAAGUCGGUUGGACAAAUUGUCCACCUCUGCAGGGGGUUUCCAAAGUACCGGUUGCUAUCUGACGGCUGCACAUAUUUAUAUUUCAUUAGUCUUGUUGCACUGAUUUCUGCAGUGGCUUUUAAAUCAAGAAUUUGGGUUGCAGGUCAUUUGCCUCAGCCAGUACAGGCUGGCUUCAGUGGGCUUCUUGGUAACACUCAUCAGCACCGUCACGGUUCUCGCGUGCCGCUACACCGUGUGUGCAUACCAACUUGAUUUAAUAGGCAUUUUAAAUUUUUUUUUAUUGUCACGCAUCAACUGGUUUAUUAAAAAAUGGCUUCAAAACAAUAUCAAUGAUUGCUUGAUGGCUACUUCCUUCAUACGACUGGCCUACUUUCUAAGUUCUCUGUGUAGCUGUAGGCCUACUCUAUUAUCGGAUUAUUCGUUGUAGCCGUUUCCUGCGAGAUAUGCAGCAGUGUUCAGUAAUAAAUCAGUAGUACGAAGCAAUGCUCUGUUCGAAGGGAACUUUUAUAGGAGGCAACAACUCGCCUCACUGCAAAUUGUAAAGCAAGAUUACCUAUGAGUCAUAAGGCCGCACACCUUUGUCUACCCAAACCAUAUUGAUGUUCCCUUACACAACAAAUGUUAAUAUUAGCUGUCCUUGCUCCGUGAGCUGCUGUACUAACUAAGGGCAAGAUGAGUCGGACGCUUAUCAAUUAUUCCAGAUUUUGGUUCCCAUCCAGGCUCUAAUGUCAGUGUUGCAAGUUCUGGAUUUUCUGUUUUAUUUCAUUUUUCUCUGCCUCUUGUGUAUCGUAACAGUUCAGUUCCUGCCGUAUUGUGUUGCGGUUUCUGCUGUGGUACUGUGCGCUCUGUAUGCCUGUUUGUGUUGUGUGAGUUUUGCUUCUUGUUGGAGAUAUUGCUGCAGUACGACUUGGAGGAUUAACUAAUUCCUCUUUCUAAACCUUAAGAAAUCCGUGACUCUUAAUGUAGUUCAUUGUAGUUCACUUACAAAAACAUAGUUACAAAUAUCCAAUUCUUCCAAAGAAGAAUCCAUGUAACUCUUUUAUAGUUUUAUAUUUCUUCGCAAUAGCAUCUUUCUUUCUGCACACCACUGCUUCUGUAGCUUUUACAUCUAUUCACUGUCUUUUCUUAAGUGAGAUUUGCUACCAAAAAUAAGAGCUUUCUGACACCUUUCUCUGCGCCGCGGCUAUAUUUAAAAAAACACAAAACAAUAGUGUUGACAAAAUGAAGUCUGGCCAAGUGAAAACUCCCUCCAUUCAUUAAAUUUGUUAACACUCCCCGUCAGCGGCAGCAGCAGCAGCCAUUGGAGUGUCGGCUCAGCCUGUUAUCUCCACAUCAAAUUUCACUUCAGCUCCACUUGACUCAUCUCAGAUUUGUUUGUCGUCCUC
Molecule: long non-coding RNA, 16788 nt
Organism: Gasterosteus aculeatus aculeatus (three-spined stickleback)
Lineage: Eukaryota; Metazoa; Chordata; Actinopteri; Perciformes; Gasterosteidae
Source: Ensembl